RNAcentral lists this long non-coding RNA (1102 nucleotides) under Pan troglodytes (chimpanzee). RNAcentral describes it as "long non-coding RNA NONPTRT004015". Lineage: Eukaryota; Metazoa; Chordata; Mammalia; Primates; Hominidae. The record is from RNAcentral.
GACACAUAGAAGUUGGUCAGUAAAUGUUAGCUAUCAUCGUCAUCAUUAUCAUCAUUAUCAACAUCAUCAUCCAAGGGUUGAAUGAUGUUUUUGUGUUUUUGUCCAGGUGUCAGAAGGAGGCUGGCAAAUUUGGCACUCACAGAGGGAAACCUAUGUGCUUCGUGAGGUCAUUGCUUAGAGUACAACUGCUACCAAGAACAUUCCCUGCAAACUCUUUUGUGAUCAGUUUCUUCCCUUCUCUCAUAUACCCUCUGCAGGUCCACCAAUUGCAUUUUGAGAGCUCAGAUAAGCAGAGAGCAAUGCAAUUUGUCACGGAAGGAUGAUUAUGUAUAUGCACUGUCAUGUCUAUUUCCACGCCUAACUCAAAAGAGACACAGGGAGAAAGUGAGCUCAGCCUGGAUAAAUUGGAAGUUGUGAUGACUUCUAGGAAGCCUCAGGAAAAAGAAACAAAGACAACACUGGCCUGCUGCUCUCUGCAAUGGUGGGACUCUUGUGGGACAACUGUUUUAGGAAUGAAGGUGUCUACCCUCUCUAGAAAUGAAAAUGCAAGUUUGGCUGUGGUUAAGUAUUGGAUGGAGGCAAAAAGAAACUGACAUAUUUGCUUCUUUUCAAUUGUUUGAUUCACCCUGAAGGGCAUGGCUGCCUAAUUUUUUUUUCCAGAGAUAGGUGGACAGAUAAAGACAGGAAAGUAACAUCCACAGACUGCCCUCUGUGAAGGUGACAGUGAUGAGAGGAAUGCUUGAUCUGAACAUUGGUAAAUAAAGUGACCGCGUAUUUCCCUAGCCAGGAGAGCAAUCUGGCUCAAAAGAAACGAGAACAAUGACAUUACUGCCAGGCUGCUCCUAAGCCUUUGGCUAUUCUGUUCAGUGCACAUAAAAAGCAGUGAACAUAGCUGUGACCUCCCUUGUUGGCAGUAUCACAAUUCUUUGGGGCUCCACUUUGAGAAAUUGAGACCUACCUACCUUAACCCUUGGGGGGUUAAGCUUUCAGACUGGAAUGAUAACUGAACUAUUCAUUUGCAGUAAUUCUGGGUUUUGUGCAUAUCUUAAAAAGGAAUACCGGGCUUGCCUAUAUUCAUUACAACAUCCUCCCAGCUUUCAAA